This 388-nucleotide long non-coding RNA is filed under the name Lupinus angustifolius (narrow-leaved blue lupine). Its description in RNAcentral is "long non-coding RNA (LANG_LNC003639)". Lineage: Eukaryota; Viridiplantae; Streptophyta; Magnoliopsida; Fabales; Fabaceae. The record is from RNAcentral.
CGGGGACGGUGUAGCUUUCAAGAAGAAUCAUGCACAACAAAGGAAAAGGAAUCCCUAAUCAAAGCCACUUCCUCCCUCCUCUUCUUCCUUCACUCCGGCGGCGGCAACGGUGAGCGGUUAACCGUAUCCGAGUACUCGAACUUCCCGGUGUGGGACUAAAAGUGGUGGAAGACAUGGUUGCGACGUGUUUGGGGUUUCGCUAAACAGUAACCACCGUAGUUCCUUUUUAUACUCACUGUGAGUGUAAAUCACAAAAUCGAUUUUGAAUUCAUUUUUCAAUCCACACAGAGAUUAUGGAGAGUGAUAGUGGAAAAUAGGAAUAGAAAUAUUGAGAAUCAGAUAUGGAAUGUUGUAUUCACAUCUUUGUAGGUAGCCUCCUUCUCAAUAG